This 3596-nucleotide long non-coding RNA is filed under the name Oncorhynchus mykiss (rainbow trout). RNAcentral describes it as "lncRNA (ENSOMYG00000050224.1)". Lineage: Eukaryota; Metazoa; Chordata; Actinopteri; Salmoniformes; Salmonidae. The record is from RNAcentral.
AUGUUCAGCUUCAGUUUGAAGAUGGAGAUUCAAGACCAGUGGAGCUGUGCUGUGGGACUCCAGGGCUGCAGCAGUGGGACAGGGAGAGAGAGAGCCCAGCCCUGCGGGAGCCCUUCUCAGCCUGCCAUUAGUCUCCACAUGACAGGCAGCAUCCAGCAGCAGAAACCAUCCACCCGCCCAGCAUGGAGAAGACACACGCAGGCAGCCCCGUCUGGGAGAGACCGGAGCAGAUGCACACACACCGACAGGAACACACACACAAACAGGAACACACACACCGACAGGAACACACACACCGACAGGAACACACACACCGACAGGAACACACACACAGACAGGAACACACACACAGGCAGAUGAGAAGACGCACACGGCAUAUGGCUGUGCCCUCACGGGAGAACACGGGAAACUGUGACAUCAGUUGAUUGGCGGGUGGGUGGUUGGCUUGGUAGAGCACAGCUCUGUGUGAGUGAAGUCGAUAGGACUACUGUGUGCUAACUUUAAAUGUAUCGAACUGUACAACCACUAUGGCUGAUGGCUCAUAUAAUACUGUGAUGUGGGUCACAGUGCCAUUAGAUGGCACCCUACAUCUAAUGCCAUUAGAUGUAGGGCCUCCCGGGUGGCGCAGUGGUUAAGGGCGCUGUACUGCAGCGCCAGCUGCGCCACCAGAGACUCUGGGUUUGCGCCCAGGCUCUGUCGUAACCGGCCGCGACCGGAAGGUUAAAUAAAGGAUAAAUAAACCAUAUAUAUCUCUGUACACUCUUCAAAAUGUGCCUGUGUUAUAUUUCAAACAUAAUCUUGCAGGGAAUGUACAGUAGAGGGUUGUCCUCAAGUAGAGGGUUGUCCUCAAGGGAUUUGGGGAUUACACUAACUGUCGGAAAAAUCCCUAAAUCUCUACAAGGAUUAUCAAUUGGUCAAUGGAGCUCUUGCUAAAAGUCCCUGGAUGAGAUACAACUACAGGACUGGGGAGCACAGUAAAACACAUGCUAGCUUACCUUUCACUCUGUCAGACAUUUGGAGAGAAAAAAAUACUCCAUUACAUUUGGUCACCUGUGGGAUGUGAGAGGAGCAGAUACAUUUUGCUUUGAUAGGCUGGCUUUCACACAUUUAACCCCUAGAAUCCUUCAGAACUGCAAGUGCAGAGAAAAACAUUUUUAGUUACAAAAAUGGAUGAAAAUGUGACUGUCAACGGGUAUCAACCCAAUCAUACAGAGGCUUUCAAUGGGUAUCAACCCAAUCAUACAGAGGCUUUCAAUGGGUAUCAACCCAAUCAUACAGAGGCUUUCAAUGGGUAUCAACCCAAUCAUACAGAGGCUUUCAAUGGGUAUCAACCCAAUCAUACAGAGGCUUUCAAUGGGUAUCAACCCAAUCAUACAGAGGCUUUCAAUGGCUGCUGAGAUAUGAUCAUUUUCCACUUUAUAAAGCAAAUAAACAAUCAUUCAUAAUUAUUUCCAUUCCACUGGACCAAAGUACAGAAAUACCUAGAGCUGGAAACACUAGAGUUACUGUGUUUGUUUGCAUGAGCAGCAUCAAAGCUGUGUGUCCCAGCUGCUGAUGACACAUCCCCUGGGGAGCGCUGCUCUGAGAGCAAGGGGGAUCAGCUGAGAGAGAGAGAGAGACACACACACCCCUCCUCCCCCCGAUUGACAGCGCUGAUAAGCGAUGUGGCAGGCUGUGAACACUGGCGACGUGCGUCACAGCUCCUGUGAGCCUCGCCUCGUCUUGUCUCGCCUGUACUCAAUAAGGGAGCUGGGGGAGGGGUGGAGAGAUAGGGACAUUUUAUUGUUUAUUUCACUUGCUUUGUCAAUGUAAACACAUGUUUCCCAUGCCAAUAAAGCCCCUUAAAAUUGAAUUGAAUUGAAAGAGAGAGAGCGAGAGAGAGAGAGAGGGAGAGCGAGAGAGUCGGACGAGUCCCUCCAAGUAGCAGAAUCCCGGCAGAGCGGCUGAGAGUGCAUAUGAGAAACAGAGACCAGAGGAGUGAAAGACAGACGGAGAGUUGAACCUCUGAGGUAGCAGGAGACUGCAGGGAGAGAGAGAGACAAGGAGAAUUGUAAAAGGGUUGGAAAAAAAGAGAAGUUGGAAGGGAUUGUGAGCCGGCAAUAUAUGUGUGUGUGUGUGUGUGAAAAUGCUUGCGUGCUGUGUGUGAGCCGUGAUUAUGUGUGAUGUGAGAGGAGUUCACAGCAGGGGUAUUUUCCUCAUUUCCACCUGUUGGUAGAAACAGACAAACUGACGAUGUUCACCCAGAGCACAACCAGACCAGGCUAGUUGCUAUUCACCAGUCUGCUUCCUCACACACACCACACAGCAAGGCUUAUUGGCUUGCAAACACAUACACUUUUCACAAACAUAUAAAUGGAAUUCCAUCCUCCUGACAAAUAUUUAUUGUGUUCAUUAUUGUGAACAAUAUUCAUUGCCAAUCUCUUCCUCCCUCAGUAACACGGCCAGCCUCACUGUCUCCUCUCUCUGCUGGCCACACACAUCCCGCGCCCCUCCGCUGUCGCCUAUAUUUCAAGGUCUCGGCUCGGCCGCGCUGUGCUCUCCCUUCAGGGGGAAAAUGAGAUAAUCAAUUAGGGCCCCCUCUCUCCUCCACCCGCCCGCCUGCCGCUCUUUAAUAACUGGCCUCGUAAAGGGAGGCAUUAGAUACCAAUCUAUCAAAGCUGUCCGUCCCUUUGGCUUUAAGACUAGCCCCCGCACUGCCUGUCUUCCCCAUGCACCGGGCUGCCUGCCUGCGCUCGCUUAAUGGCACGAUUUGCGGAGCUCCGGUCGAGAGACAGAGAGAGAGAGAGAGAAGGAAGAUGGAGAAAGAAAAGGGGGGGGGGAAUGGAGAGACAGAGAGAGAAGCGGCUUUGCUCAACGUCUUAUCUCUCCUCGUUUGCUCUCCAAGCGGCUGAGUCGUUUAAUUCCUCCUAAUCUGUCCGCUGGAGAGAAGACAGGCUGUGCGGCGAGGCCGGGGUGGGGGCUGGUGUGUGCGUGCGUGCGCGCGCUUGACGGAUCAACCUCUUCUCUAGGCACUUUUUGUCGUCUGUCGUUGUAUUUCUCAUGCCUGUUCGCUAUAUAAAUGUGGUUAUUGUUCAGGAUAAAAAUGGAGCUGAAAAAUAGUAUCUUUCCUACAGCUUUAGAUUUUCAGACUGCCUCACGGAAUCAUCAUUGGAACAUGUGUCAGGUGAAUUAGUGACGUUUAUAUCAUGUAAACUGGAAGAAGAAACCUGGUUGGCAUGGUAAUUCAUGCUUUAUUAAAAGGCUAUACGUCUUGCUUGUAAUGGUCAAUUAGCCUGUCAACGGCUAUAGCCAUUUCCUGUAUACUUUUUUAUUUAACCAGGCAAGCCAGUUAAGAACAAAUAAUUAUUUACAAUGACGGCCUAUCGGGGAACAGUGGGUUAACUGUCUUGUUCAGUGGCAGUACGACAGAUUUGUACCUUGUCAGCUCAGGGAUUCGCUCCAGCAACCUUUCGGUUACUAGUCCAACGCUCUAACCACUAGGCUACCUGCCUGUUAGCCUAUGGGUGCUCAUUUUGUGUCCGUCAGAAGCCUGAUUACUCUGGUUGACACCUAACUCCAAGUCUUCCUGACUUCAGUCUGGUAAGACUCCUUUAUGU